UUGUCAUUUAUCAAAACCUACAAAUAUGAACACACGUUUAGUUUAGUGCCUUGUGAGAAGGUGUUUCAACACUAGAAUGGUCACUCAAGUGAUGCAUUUAGCUUUUAUCUGAUUUUAUUACAUAAAGAGCCUAUGUGCCAAUUUUAUGCUUAACCACUUUUAUUUAAUAUAAUAUUUAUUUAAGAAAGUGAACGUCGUCUAAAGCACGCAUUCGGAUUGCGUCGCAUGAAAUGAACCCGCAAUCCUAGGCAUAAUCUAUUCAACGUUUUAGGAUUUGGAUUUGGGCCGCAUAAAAUGCCCACCCGUAUUUAGGAAUGUAAUUUUAUUAGAAUCGCGACUAUUUUUUACAUGAAAUGAACCUGCAAUCCUAGGCAUACUCUAUUCAACAUUUUAGGACUUGGAUUUGGACCGCAUAAAAUGCCCACCCGUAUUUAGGAAUGUAGUUUUAUUAGAAUCGCGUCUAAAAGAGUCUAGCGCGUUAUUAUCUUUUGGGAGGGUUGUGAAAUUCAUUAAACGACCCUUCCUGAUUUCUAAUAUAUUUUUGAACCUUUAUUAAGGGCCCCGCAAUUUUGCGUUUUCAUUGGGCGAGGCUCGCCUCAUUUCAAUUUUUAAAGGAUAAGCCUAAAAGCGACUAUAUUUUCUAUUUUUUUGUUUUUAUCGUUAAAAGAAAAGAAAAAAAAUCCUAAUUGGUUAUUAGAAUUCAGAUUCCGAGUUCAAGUCCUGGUCCAAAUAAAAGGGAAUACUUUUUAGCUUGAACCCGCUACGUAACUCAAACCCGAAAUUAUGUUAUUGCCCUAACCUUGCAUUGGUCUAUUUGAAUUUAGCCCAAUUGCUAAUAUGAACCAUAGGUAUGCAUAUUCCCAACACGCAAUUAUCAUAACAAUUAUAGAAUUUGUCAGUGUGCAAAUCAUAACAUUGGCACCACACAAAUCUUAACUCAACCAAAAGAAUAAACACUUAAAUUGCAUUCUAAUUAUAAAAACAAGGAAGCAUAAUCCGCAUUAAUAACUAAGAAAACUCACUUGUAAUUCACUGAAUAUUUUCCAUAUGACCCAAAUAAAUUUUCAGAGUCUUCAAAUUUUGAACAUAGAAACAUAGAUAGAAAGGAAAAGGGAUUGACCUCUGUUACCUCAGCAAAACUCGACUAUGCUACGUGACCGGAAAAAGGAACUUCAACCACAAACCAGCGAUAACCUCGAACGGAAAUCAUGACCGAGGAAACAGAAAACUCGCUGAUUGGAAUCGUUGACUAGAGGCGAAGACCAAAAAAUAAAACGGGAACAGAGAUGAAGAUUUGAGCCCACCUUGAACGUCUACCUCAAAUCGUUUCCGACAUCUCAGCUCCACAUAUACCUCCAAACGAGCUUCAAAUGGAAUUUGUGAGUUUCGCGGUGUGAUACGACUGUUUGGUGUUUGAGAAGAAUGUUGGACGUUUUCCGACGAGGGGUCGGGAAUGGAAACUGCUGACGCUAGUUCUUUCUAAGGUUUUCUGUCCGGUAAAAGGUAUUCCAUGCGGAGAUAGGGUUGGGGUAAAAGUGAAAACGAUGAAGUUCAGGGUUAUGGGUCUUGUGUUGAACCACAUCAAGCUGAAGGUAAAUGGCCGGCCAUUAUAUUUGGUUUCUCUGUUCAAAAUGUGGAAGAAGAAGACGUGAGAGGGGACCUUGUAUCAUUUAUUGCGGCUGAUGGUGUGUUUUUUGGUGUAUCUUUUUUUUUGUUUUUGUUUUUUUUCUUUUUCCAUUGCGUAGAGAAUGGUUUUAUAGAGUGUGUGGAAUGUGGUGUUAUGUCGGGGAGUCUUAUUUUGGGAUAAGGUGUUACGUGAGGUAAUAUUUUGGGGGAAAGAUUUUAGGUGGGGAAAUAUUUUGGGGGAGAAUAUUUUGGGGAAGGUGUUUCCCAUUUUUUUUUACUCCCAAUUUCUUUUAUCUUCCUUUUUUUGUAUUUUAUUUACU
RNAcentral lists this long non-coding RNA (1946 nucleotides) under Nicotiana benthamiana. Its description in RNAcentral is "long non-coding RNA (NBEN_LNC036587)". The record is from RNAcentral. Lineage: Eukaryota; Viridiplantae; Streptophyta; Magnoliopsida; Solanales; Solanaceae.